This 273-nucleotide ribosomal RNA is filed under the name uncultured soil bacterium. RNAcentral describes it as "partial 16S ribosomal RNA". It matches the Rfam family "Bacterial small subunit ribosomal RNA", at positions 26 to 323 of the family's 1533-position model. The record is from RNAcentral.
AGAACGAACGCUGGCGGCAGGCCUAACACAUGCAAGUCGAACGCUCGUAGCAAUACGGGAGUGGCGCACGGGUGAGUAACGCGUGGGCACCUGCCCGGUGGUUUGGGAUAACCGUGGGAAACUGCGGCUAAUACCGGAUACGCCCCUAGGGGGAAAGAUUUAUCGCCAUCGGAUGGGCCCGCGUAGGAUUAGCUAGUUGGUGAGGUAACGGCUCGACCAAGGCGACGAUCCGUUAGCUGGUCUGAGAGGAUGAUCAGCCACACUGGGACUGAG